UACUGUUGGGUAGUUCAUAUUUUAAAAACCGAUCAACUAUUUUGUGUGUAAAAAUCUGAAUCUGAAAACUGACUAUAGCUGUCAAGUAAAUGAAGUUAUCUUAACUGUUUGCCUCUGACAUGUUGUGAAGCAGAAGUAAAAAGUAGAUAAAAAUUGAAAAACUUAGUAUAAGUAACUCAAAAAUGUACUUAAAUAGUAAGUAAUAGUACUCAAGUAAAUGUACUUAGUUAUAUUCCACGACUGGAGUGGCUAACUUUUAGUGUAUGUUUUUCACAUAAAAUGUUAUUGAUCAAAGUGUUCCUUGAGAUGAGAAAAGACACAGUGACAGCAGCUAACAAACAGCUGCCAAAAAAUCUUUAUUCAGUUAUAACCAGAUGCCUCCAGAGUCUUCCAGUCAAACAGAUCACUCUGGAGAAGGUAAACUGUACAUUGAGUCAAACAACAACAGCACCAGAACGCAAUUUGUCAGAAAACACAAUUUACAACAUGAACGAUGGCAGUUUCUACACACAGAGAACAGCUAGGAAAAAAAACAAAACUGGUACAGGAGUUAACAGUCAAUGUGUAUAGAUUCUUCUUAGAGAAAAAUCAUCAUAUAUUCAUAGAAUUUUAUUAUAUUGUGGAAAAGAAUAUAAGAAAACAUUGUUGGUGCAAUAGAGUAUAGUAUUUGUGAUAGAACAUAUACAUAUUGCAAGUGCUUUGUGUGUUAACAAUAAUUCCUAUGUAGGCUAUAAACUGAAUGUGUGACACUGUCUGCGUGUAAUAUGAUGAAACAGGCCGUGUUUUAAAUGUGCAGAGAGAGAACAUUCAGUUUAAACAUGGCUUAGUUUGUGUGUGAGUUUAAGUGGCUGUUAACCAGGCACAGUAGUGCUAAGUCAAGCUAACCUUUACCUGUAGAAAGAAAAAUAGACCCAAAACAUAGUUCAGGUUAGAGGUGACAGAUUUUGUUACCUUCGCAUCAGAUAGAGCCUGACUAGUUUUUUUCCCCAGUUUCCAGUCUUAAUGCUAACCUAAGCUAAGCUAACCAGCUGCUGACUGUAGCUUCAUAUUUAAGGCUCAGACAUGAAAGUGGUGUCAAUCUUCUCAACUAA
Molecule: long non-coding RNA, 1091 nt
Organism: Sander lucioperca (pikeperch)
Lineage: Eukaryota; Metazoa; Chordata; Actinopteri; Perciformes; Percidae
Exons: 2
Source: RefSeq, a predicted model, not a curated record